Molecule: non-coding RNA, 306 nt
Organism: Glycine soja
Lineage: Eukaryota; Viridiplantae; Streptophyta; Magnoliopsida; Fabales; Fabaceae
Source: Rfam
CGUGAGAGCAUUGAGAGGACUUUUCCCUAGUACGAGAGGACCAGGAAAGAUGCACCUUUGGUGUGCCAGUUAUCGUGCCCACAGUAAACACUAGUAGCCAAGUGCAGAGUGGGUAAUUGCUGAAAGCAUCUUAGUAAACCCACCCCAAGAUGAGUGCUUUCCUAUACUGACUUCCCCAUUGGAGAUGGAGCGAAAAAAGUUAUGAAUUCAAGAGAAGAUCACAGUGAGAUGAGCCAUUUCUAAUUAAUGAUAGGUGUCAAGUGGAAGUGCAUUGAUAUACAUAGUUAAGGCAUCCUAACAAACCGG